GAUGAACGCUGGCGGCGUGCCUAAUACAUGCAAGUCGAGCGAACAGACGAGGAUCUUGCUCCUCUCACGUUAGCGGCGGACGUGUGAGUAACACGUGUAUAACCUACCUAUAAGACUGGGAUAACUACGGGAAACCGGCGCUUAUACCGUAUAAUAUAUUGAACCGCAUGGUUCAAUAGUGAAUGACGGUUUUGCUGUCACUAAUAGAUGGUUCUGCGCCGCAUUAGCUAGUUGUUAAGUUAACGGCUUACCACGGCUACGAUGCGUAGCCGACCUGAGAGAGUGGUCGGCCGCACUAGAGGUGAGACACGGUCCAGACUCCUGCGGGAGGGAGCAGUAGGGAAUCUUACGCAGUGGGCGAGAGCAUGACGGAGCGACGCCGCGUGAGUGAUGGAGGUCUUCGGAUCGUGAAACUCUGUUAUGAGGGAAGAACAGAUGUGUAAGUAACUGUGCCCGUAUUGACGGUACCUGGUCAGAAAGCAACGGCUAACUACGUG
This 497-nucleotide ribosomal RNA is filed under the name uncultured bacterium. Its description in RNAcentral is "partial 16S ribosomal RNA". It matches the Rfam family "Bacterial small subunit ribosomal RNA", at positions 28 to 507 of the family's 1533-position model. The record is from RNAcentral.